GGACUACCAGGGUAUCUAAUCCUGUUUGCUCCCCACGCUUUCGUAGUUGAGUGUCAGUGCCUGUCCAGGUCGCCGCCUUCGCCUCUGGUGUUCCUCCCGAUCUCUACGCAUUUCACCGCUACACCGGGAAUUCCACGACCCUCUCCAGGACUCUAGUCUCACCGUUUCCGAGGCACUUCUUGAGUUAAGCUCAAGGCUUUCACCCCGGACAAAUGAGACCACCUACCUACCCUUUACGCCCAAUAAUUCCGAGCAACGCUUGCACCCCUCGUAUUACCGCGGCUGCUGGCAC
RNAcentral lists this ribosomal RNA (292 nucleotides) under uncultured bacterium. RNAcentral's name for it is "partial 16S ribosomal RNA". The record is from RNAcentral.